Molecule: long non-coding RNA, 456 nt
Organism: Archocentrus centrarchus (flier cichlid)
Lineage: Eukaryota; Metazoa; Chordata; Actinopteri; Cichliformes; Cichlidae
Exons: 3
Source: RefSeq, a predicted model, not a curated record
UUUCAGACCCCGCUAGAGAAUUUUAUUUUUUUACAAGAAGCGACUAGCGAAAAAAUUUAGCGAGUUUUCCCGGCGACGUCGGCGACUUUUGGAGAGUUUUUUGUUAACCUGAAAUCCUCCGCUAUCACUGUGUUUUGUGUACAUACCGCCUUCUACUGCGCCCGUUCGUGCGCUUUGGCAUCGCCCGGACCCCCAAGAGUACCUGACUGUUGGUUUGUACCAUAGCAAAGCAUUUCGGGGCGGACCCGCCCUCAAGUUAGCCGAUCCGUUCAGGCUGUUCCUCAGUUCUGGCCCUCCGGAGAGGACCCGGCCCGCCCACGGACAGCGGCUCUCACACAGAAAGCAGGAAGUGGACGGCAGCGCUUCUCUACGAUGCAGAGUCGUGUUUCCCAGGCUGCCCCUGAACACAUCCUAAAGCCUGCAGCAGACAGAUGGAGGUGUGCUGCUGACCCUGUG